AACGAACGCUGGCGGCAUGCCUAACACAUGCAAGUCGAACGAGACCUUCGGGUCUAGUGGCGCACGGGUGCGUAACGCGUGGGAACCUGCCCUUAGGUUCGGAAUAACUCCCCGAAAGGGGUGCUAAUACCGGAUAAUGUCUUCGGCCCAAAGAUUUAUCGCCUUUGGAUGGGCCCGCGUUGGAUUAGCUAGUUGGUAGGGUAAAAGCCUACCAAGGCGACGAUCCAUAGCUGGUCUGAGAGGAUGAUCAGCCACACUGGGACUGAGACACGGCCCAGACUCCUACGGGAGGCAGCAGUGGGGAAUAUUGGACAAUGGGCGAAAGCCUGAUCCAGCAAUGCCGCGUGAGUGAUGAAGGCCUUAGGGUUGUAAAGCUCUUUUACCCGGGAUGAUAAUGACAGUACCGAGAGAAUAAGCUCCGGCUAACUCCGUG
RNAcentral lists this ribosomal RNA (433 nucleotides) under uncultured bacterium. RNAcentral's name for it is "partial 16S ribosomal RNA". It matches the Rfam family "Bacterial small subunit ribosomal RNA", at positions 29 to 507 of the family's 1533-position model. The record is from RNAcentral.